UAGAAGCCAGCUGCUGGGAGACUGAAAAGUGAAAGUAAAUUUAGGUCCUUCACCUGAACCUGGUGGUGGGUCAAACGCUUCCACAUGGACACCUGUCAGUCCCACUGGAGUGUAGGUCUGGCCAGAGACCUUUAGUUGUCUCUGUGCUCAGAUGUUGGCCACCAAGGAUCACAAGUUGGGAAAGAGAAUGGAGAGGAUUCCCUGUAAGGAGAGAGAGUCCUUAUAUGGGCCACCAAAAUGUCAUGGACUUUCUUGCAAAAAUGCCUGUUUGGGAUUCCUCAGAGUACAGACAAAAAGGAAGGCUUGAUCAGCAUGUGGUGGAUCUGAAGAUUCAAAGAGGUGCCACAGCUCAAAAGUAGACAUUUUGGCAAAUGUGAAGAAGUGAGAUUCAAUGAAGAUGAUAAGAAAUGAAAGGUGUUACCAAAAUUACACAAGUAUUUCUGUCAUUUUCCUACUAAAUUACAUGAAGGGGGUUGUCUGCUUAUGAGCUGCACCACCGAGCAGCAUGCCUAUCAGCGAGAAGGUGCCUGACAAUUCUCAGUUGAAAUGUCCUGACCAAGUUCCCCCAGAAAUUUAUGACUAAUAACAAAAGGGAAAAGCUACCCUCACAAGGAGAUGUCCAGUUGACACUAUCUCAACCAAAAUUAUUAAACAUAGCAUCAGCAAUCGUGGGACAAACAGACGCAAACAUCUCCUGGUGUGAGGCGCAUCAAGGAAAACAAUCUACAAGAAACAAAAUGGUGAGAAAAAGCAGCACACUCACGUCUCUGAAGAGCACAGCAUAAGGCUACAAAAAGGACCAAGCACCUUCUCAACCUGCAAUGUGCUCAGUGUCUGUAAAUCACAAGUUAGGUGAUGAAGGGCUGGUAGUUUCCCAUGAAUUAAUAACUUUCCUUCUUGCCCCCGUGUUAUCUCCCUCACCUGACCCCCGCCAAUAAAACAUCCUUAAAAGGCUCCUCUCAAAUUCCUUGCAAAUAUUAGGCUCCUCUCAAAUUGCUUGCACAUGCU
RNAcentral lists this long non-coding RNA (1008 nucleotides) under Homo sapiens (human). Its description in RNAcentral is "HSALNT0098621". Lineage: Eukaryota; Metazoa; Chordata; Mammalia; Primates; Hominidae. The record is from RNAcentral.